GAGCAGUGUUCCGUAGCCGAUCGUGGUCCUCUGAUUCCUACUUGUAAGUUUUAAACACUAAACAGUGUGACUUAGUGGUGCGCGCUUCUAUAUCUCGGUAAACGAGGGUUGUGAAAAAGUAUAGGUAGUAUAAACAAAUAAACGGAAAUAGUAAACUAACGGUUGUGUUAGAUUUUUUUCGAUUAUUUAUCGUUAUUUUGCCUAUCGUUCUCGUGUAUUUUGUGUUAAUGUGUAACGAUACUCGCCGGCGUAUCAAGACGUCAACAGGAAUAGCAGGAUUCGCGAGCCGUAAAUUUCGAAGUGACUGAAAGUGUUAAAGGUUUGAUUUAUUUUUUAAAAUGUUCAAAUUAAAAAUCUUAAAACGCCGGUUUUUCCCCGUACAAACUACAGGUGGACUGUAACAUUUUUUGGUUGAAGUCUGGCUCUUAAAUAGUUGGGUACGAAAAAAUAAAAUCAAAUAAAAAUAUAUCAUAGUAUAACAAAUAGAUCACAUGGUCUCUUCCUUGAGAGCCAGACUUCAACCCAUUCUUCUAACAAUAACAUUUAUGAUUCAUCGCAUAUUAUUUUUUCUUUUUGAAAGAAUAAAUAAAAAUACAAAUAAAAUAAAUGUAUAAUAAUUUAUAAAAACUCGCGAUUGAUAAGAUUAAUUAGUUGUGCAAGGGUCAGAUUUAAUCUUGGGCCUCGAGGGGUAUAUGAGGAUUGUGGGGAAACUACUAUUACAAUCCAGAUAAUUUUGAUAGGUUUUACGCCGUCCACUGCCACCACAGCGAUUUGAGUUGUUUUACGACCAUAUUAUAUUAAUAAUAUUAUAAUUUAUAAUGUUCACUGUUUACAACCACAUUAAAGUAUCUACUGUGCAAUAAAAGAUGACGAAAAUAUUUUCGAACACGUUCUAAAACGUAAUAAUUCCUAUCAAUGUAUCUUAAUAUUUUUCUAACGAAAACGCAAUACGACGGCGGCAGAGGUGAUGGCGAGUGGGUCACACGCCACAGCGGCUGCCCCUCUCAGCCCACGCGUUACAGCUGUUUUUUAUUUACAAACACAACCGACCGAACAACAAUAAUAAUAAAUGCUACGCGCAAGACGGACGGGUACUCGUGCACCGAGGGGGACUUUGCGGCGGCGGUAAUGCGCGGGGUGGGCGAUCGUCGGCGUAUAUUAUUACGUCGUAAUUUGAUUAGAUUAAAAUAAUGCACACACCACUAUUUUCAAGGUCGAUGACUACGCGACAGCGUCUUUAUAGACUGGCAGGGCAUCCCAAUUUCAAAAAGCCUGUCCUAAGAUAAUAGAGAUGGGUGGAACACCGUUGUAGGUGGGAAGUUGGGAAAGUAGGAUAUAGACAGAAAUAUACUGUAUAUCUGUACGCAACGAUUAACCAUUGCUAACGAAAAAACGAUUCUGAGUGGAGUUCGGUUGAUUGUGUUGCUUUUGUCAACAAUAUAUAUGUCAUGUUAUGGUAAAAUAAUUACAUAUAU
Cinara cedri is the source of this 1475-nucleotide non-coding RNA. NCBI's taxonomy places the organism in Eukaryota, Metazoa, Arthropoda, Insecta, Hemiptera, Aphididae. The record is from the annotation of a GenBank genome assembly.